GAAAGCCGCGUGCUGUGAACAGAGCUUGGAGAACACUUUACUGUACUAGUAAUCAGCUGAUUUUACGACAGAAUAAUGGCACUGGCAGCAGAAAAUAGACACGAGGCCCCACAGGAGUGUCCUGUGUGCUUCGAAAAUGUUUUGCUUGCAAAACGCACUCUAAGCUGCAGGCACGUCUUUUGCCAGGACUGCCUGAGUAAAAUAAUGGUAGUCGCCCGGAGUCGAGGAUCCAUCAUUUGUCCACUCUGCCGUCAAGCCACUUAUCUUAACAAAGAGAACCAAGCUGGAGAGACCCUGGCUGCAGAUGUGGACACCACACAGGAGGUGGCUCUUCCUCUCUCGAUGGGGUAUCUUGUGAUGGCGUCGAGGGCCUCCAUAGUCGGUUUGUUGCAUGGAGGAAAUUGGAUGAUGCAUCAUUUGAGGAGACUUUCUCGCCGAACCAGCGAGCAAACGGUCACCUACAGGAAUGGGUCUCAGGUUUUUAUAAUUAGCGACCAAGUGAGACCAACGACAUGCAGCGAUACUGCUGUCGGUAUUCCUGAGGCUGAACCUCCGGAGUGUACGGAGUGUCGGGUCACCAAAUCCGACUGUAUUUGCCUGGUAGUAGUGAUUUGUUUGAUCGCACUGGUGUUGCUUCUGGUGAGGCACCUAUGAGGAUGUGCAGACUCCAACAUCCAUUCUCAGGACUGACACGUUGCCUCACUUUGUGAUAACGAUGCAUCAAUCCAGUCUCCUUUCAGAGGACCUGUGAAUGGGAAGCCCCACAACGAGCUGCUAUCAGGAAAACCGACGAUUAUUUAUUAUGUGUAUAUUAUGUUUUAUAUUUUAUAGUUUGACUUUUUCCAGUAAUGACUGGAAAAAGGAGGAAAAAUGUUUAGAAUGUUUCUUUUCAUUGUUUUAUGAAUCACUGUGGCCAACAACGUAAUUUUGAAAACUACAGAGUCACUUUAUAAAUAAGCAUUGCUGCACUUUGUAUUUUAUAUAUUGCUUGUUUAUACUUUUCUACAGUUGGUCAAGACUAAAGAUUUUAGAACUCCUGUUUUGUGUGUUUAUACGAUGUUAUAAAUACAAACAAUAAUAAUUUGCAUAAAUGGCUUAUGCAAAGAAGAAGUUACACACACACACACACACACACACACACACACACACACACACACUUUAAUCAAAGCUGUCUGUGUGUCUAUACACAAUACACACACCUGUAGUCAAUCAUUUUCAGUUUGGUACCCUGCACCCCUAAUCUGAUUAGUUGGAUUAACCAUUGUAGUGUCUAAUGAAUAAUCACAGAUUUUAAUAUAAUGCAACAGUUUUAUAGGAAUUUGUAUUUAUUUUUACCAUCUCCACUAUUCUUCAUGGCAGUGGUUAAAACUUCAGUCAUCACAGAAAACAUCACACCUCAAAACCACCUAAGCCACAGCCACCAGAUGUCUAACUCCUGUUGGGACAGAUUAUUAAACUUUGGAUGGCUUUGAGGCAACUUGUGAUUUGGUGCUAUAUGAAUAAUACUGAAUUGGAUGCACAUAGUUCUGCACCUAGAAAAAUGAAGUUGAUCAAAUAUUUCCAAUAGUAAGCAGAGUAACUCUUGUGCCUACAAACACAACUCGCUUGUAUAGAAGUCUA
Oreochromis niloticus (Nile tilapia) is the source of this 1620-nucleotide long non-coding RNA. RefSeq lists it as uncharacterized. Lineage: Eukaryota; Metazoa; Chordata; Actinopteri; Cichliformes; Cichlidae. The transcript is spliced from 2 exons. The record is from RefSeq and is a predicted model, not a curated record.